This 459-nucleotide ribosomal RNA is filed under the name Molomea fatalis. RNAcentral's name for it is "partial large subunit ribosomal RNA". Lineage: Eukaryota; Metazoa; Arthropoda; Insecta; Hemiptera; Cicadellidae. The record is from RNAcentral.
UAGUUAAAUAUUAAAGGUAAGUUCUGCCCUAUGAUUAAUUAAAUGGCUGCAGUAUUUUGACUGUGCAAAGGUAGCAUAAUAAUUAGUCUUUUAAUUGAAGGCUGGUAUGAAUGAAUACAUGAGAAAUUAAUUUUAUUUUUUAUAUUAUUUUAAUUUGAUUUUUGAGUAAGAAAGCUUAAUUUUUUAUCUGGGACGAUAAGACCCUAUAGAACUUUAGUUUUAUUAUUUUCUAAUUAUUAUUUAGUUUAUUUAAAUUAUUAAUUAUAUUAAUACUUUUAUUGGGGCGGUAAAUAAAUUUGACUUUAUUUUAUUAAUUCAUUUAUUUAUGUAAUUUUGAUCCAAUAUUUGAUUAUAAGAAUUAAGUUACCUUAGGGAUAACAGCGUAAUUUUAAUGGGGAGUUCAUAUUUAUAUUAAAGUUUGCGACCUCGAUGUUGAAUUAAGAUAAGAAUGGGGGGUAG